Long non-coding RNA from Dromaius novaehollandiae (emu), 1985 nucleotides. RefSeq lists it as uncharacterized. The record is from RefSeq and is a predicted model, not a curated record. Lineage: Eukaryota; Metazoa; Chordata; Aves; Casuariiformes; Dromaiidae. The transcript has 3 exons.
UGACACCUGCACCUUCUUCUCCAACAGGCGAAGUUGAACUGUGGUUUCUAUCAGCAUGUCCAUCAGCAGCUCAAGCUGCAGCUUCAGCUUCCUUUCUGUGAAUGCAGUUACGGCAGGAGAAGCGGUGACCCCUUCCAGUACAACUUGGGUAUCUACACCCUUCAGCCGUGCUCUGCCUGACUCUGAGCUCGGUGGGCAUGAGUCAGUUCUGAUCCAAAGGCCAUGCGCCCGUGCAGCACUGUAUUGAGCUAAUAAAGCUGACCGCUGAGAAGGUUUCUUUGCUCAGGCAGAACAUUUACAGCUCUUUGGUGGUUCAGUGUUGCACCCACUGGGAGGGAGGCAGGCAACAGUCCAUUUGCAUCAGUUGCAACAAGCCCUGUCUGAAGUUCCUUCCUUCCUCCCCGGAGGAGAAUGAGCUAUACAGCUGUAAAUACUUUACAGUGGGGUGACUGGGUCCAGCCUUGGGAGAGUGUGCUGCACUGGCUGUGUCAGCACAGCGCUAACGCAGUGCAAUUCCACCGUAUCGGCAGUGCCUGAGCUCUUGUUAUACCCUGGGAACUCCGUGCCAAGGACCCGCGAGCCCCUGGUACCACGGCAGCUGCCAAGGCGUUCGAGGGAGGCUGCCAGCCACUCUGACAGGGGUGCCGUCAGAAACCCAGUGCAGCUGAUGCACUCAGGCAAGACCCUGGGCUCAACUGCCCCGUCCAUGAAAUGGAGCCUAUUUCAGCCACUCACCAGUUGCGGAUCCAGGAGCAGUGACCACAGGGACUCAUUGGUUGCGUGCUUGCUGGAAUGCUCUGUCAGACUCUGCAGUCUUCCUCAGUGCUGACCCUACUUUGACUCUUCCUACAUAGUUUUUAGCACUGAAACCCGGGAAAUCCCAGAACCCACAGCAGGAGACGGUGUCAGGAGCAAGGCAUGGCCUUUCCUAAGCUGCCGCAACAAGCGUCCAAGCUCUCCUCCGGAGGGAGGGCAUUCACACAAGGGCACGUGUGAGGCUGCAUCCCCCUCCUACACUAUGGCUCUGCCUGUACCAGGGAGAAAGAUGACUUCUCGGUGCUCUCUAACAAGUGGUGAUUACUGGUGAAAAACUGGUGAAGACAAGGCAAAUUGUAGCAUUAAAGUGUGGACUUUCCUAGCCUAUCUUGACCCGCUAACAUUCAAAGUGACAAAUUGCUUUGUUUUUGCUUGCGUUUUUCUAUGUUAUCUAAUCUAGGAAUGUUUUUUACUGCAUAGGACUGUGGCCUGUCGUAAAGGGAGUAUUUGCCUGCAGGCAAGGGGCCUGCUCUCACCCUGUCGGAAACACCCUGUGCCUCCAUCCGCAGCUGUGCCUCCCUGCGACAGCGCAGAGUUCAAACGCCAUGCUGCCAACCCCUGAUAUGUCACGGGUCAGCCGCAGUCACGCUUUUCACCCCAGGCCACCUUUGUCCGUACUUCACCGACUCCUCUCAGUCUGUGCAGCGUGGAUCCGGCUGCUGCCCCCGCGCUCCCCCCCAGCCGAGCACUCCUUCCUCCACCCUGGCUCUCGGGCACGCACCGAGCAGGAGCUCUGUGCGGCUCUGUGUUCAUUCAGAUCAAUGGGGUUCUGGCUCUUGCUGCCAGAAUGUUCUUCACAGUUUUGGCAUUGAUCAAUACCUAAUUCAAAAUGGUCACACAGGCAAACACAAAAAUGCUGUUAUGGUGAGAGUAAGACCUCUGCAGACUCAGCAGAUAAAAUGGGUCACGACAGUGCUUAUUUCUGUUACACAACUCCAGUGUGACUUGCUUUCUUUUUUCUUGCCCUUGAAGUCGCUUGGACGUAAACAAGUAAAAAUAAGGCUGAUAAUAAAAUCAGGAUGAGGAAAGGAGAAGGGAAAGGAAAGCUUCCUUCAGUGCUUGCUCCCGAAACAAACUUCCUCAUAGCUUCGGCAGGCUGGCUCCUGCAGGCUUUGAUCCCAGAGCCACUGGGGAAAUAAAGACCCAUUGAGAAGUCUGGCUACAGAUUA